Galeopterus variegatus (Sunda flying lemur) is the source of this 1710-nucleotide long non-coding RNA. RefSeq lists it as uncharacterized. The transcript has 2 exons. The record is from RefSeq and is a predicted model, not a curated record. Lineage: Eukaryota; Metazoa; Chordata; Mammalia; Dermoptera; Cynocephalidae.
CCCUGCUUUCUAGAGGGGUGGUGAGGCUGGUAUUGAAAAUGGGGCGCCUGUCCAGGAUCCCAUGUUUGGUGCCAGGUUAUCAGCAGAGUCCAGAACAUCGCAGGUGUAUUUGAUCCAAACGUUCCAGCCCCGCAGACGCUUCCCUCUUGCUCUCGGCUCCUUCUGGAUACCUUUAUUUCAUUUUGCCUGCGCUCCACUCCAGCUUAACUGGCUUUCUCUCACCUCCUCCCCUUCAUUGCCAGCCUCUGCCCCAAGCUCUGCUGGCUUCACUUAAUUGCCUUUGCUGCUGGCUUGGUCCCAACCUGGACAUACUCCUUCUGGGAGCCAGUCCAGGCUCCUCCUCCCAAACCCAGCUCCAAACUCAUCCCUCCAGGAGGCCCUUAGAGAGCAAGGCCAGGAUGCCCAGGGUUCCUUCACUUCACACCUUCCAGUGCUCCUGUGGUUGGCAUCUCUGAGGAGUGUCCUGUGUGAUGCUGCGUUGGACCCCAGGAAAUGGAAGGAGGUACCUGGUGAGCUGCUAUUCUUCUUGCAAGACGAAGCUUCAAUUUCACUUCGUUGGUGGCACCUUCCCAGGUUCCCACUCCCCGAGGAAAAUUAAUUACCCCGUGCUGGAACCACUGUUCUCUCUCCCACGAGAUUGUGAGCCUCUCCCAUGUCUGGCUUAUAUGGAGGAGGCUCUGGACUGGUCUUGUUCUGGAGAAACUGGACACUUGGCAUCUUCCUCCAGGGAGCCACUUGGUGUGAGUUUUACUGUUGGCGGAGGGAACAAGACAUCACACAUAUUAUAACCUCUCUGGACAGCUGAAAAAGUGAGUGAUAUUUGAUAGUCAAUGGGACCAGUCCUCCAAAACCGUCUUUUUCAACACGAGCUUGUUUCUUCCUCCCUCACUGGAUCACUGGGUAAUUACCUCAAUUCUUCAUUUAGUUUGGCUAUGAAGACAAGGCCGUAAUGAGCUCAGCACCCUUGACAAUCUCAACUCCAGGGUGCAGCAGCCGAGCAGUGGCUGUAGGAGAGGAAUACAGUAUUAGGCUGCUCAUGCUGCGUAACGAGCAUGUCAGAGCCACUGAGUCGGCUGUGUCUGUAGUCAGGGGGAGAAGGGAGAGGCCCUCCACCAGCCAGGGGACCGCAGAGGCUUUCUGCAGCAGCUCCAGAAGCCUUUAUUAAAAGCUUUGUUCCUCCCCCCCUCCCUUUGUCCUCCAGAAAUAAUGACCUUUGUGUGGCAACUUUUUGUAAUAUCUCAUUUCCAGGCCCAGAGCAGAUGGUUCUGGUGAUUUGAGAAGGCUUAAUGGGAGGAUUUGGGGAACCUGGGCCAUAUCUCUGGUGAAUAGACAUAAAGAGUGAUUUCGAGUUUCUAUAGCCAAGGGUUGGGGGUAGUCUCAGAAGGUUCCAGGGCUUGCCUGGGUGUAGAGGCUUAUCUGCAACCCCCCCAGCUGCUCAGUAGCCAAGAAGAAUGCCCCGAGAUCCUGGUCCUGAUAGCCUCCCCUCUGUCAGAUUAUGCACAUUGCAAGAAUGACUUCUUUUUUUCUUCAGUAUUUCAGAUGGUUCCUCUGAGGGAGAGCACAGAUCAGAAAAUGCUACUUGGACUUAUGUAUUCAAGUUUAUUUCAUUUCAUUUGUUUAUCACUGAUAUCCUGUUCAAGGUGAUGGAGGUUGGAUAUGCAGCCUUCUUUUUCAGCUCUUCUGCAAUAAAAUAAAAUGGUGGCAUGCUCA